RNAcentral lists this ribosomal RNA (1287 nucleotides) under metagenome. RNAcentral describes it as "bacterial SSU rRNA". It matches the Rfam family "Bacterial small subunit ribosomal RNA", at positions 242 to 1520 of the family's 1533-position model. The record is from RNAcentral.
UAGCUAGUUGGUGAGGUAAAGGCUUACCAAGGCGACGAUCUGUAGCGGGUCUGAGAGGAUGAUCCGCCACACUGGAACUGAGACACGGUCCAGACUCCUACGGGAGGCAGCAGUGGGGAAUUUUGGACAAUGGGGGCAACCCUGAUCCAGCCAUGCCGCGUGAGUGAAGAAGGCCUUCGGGUUGUAAAGCUCUUUCGGCCGGGAAGAAAUCGCAUGGGCCAAUACCCUGUGUGGAUGACGGUACCGGAAUAAGAAGCACCGGCUAACUACGUGCCAGCAGCCGCGGUAAUACGUAGGGUGCGAGCGUUAAUCGGAAUUACUGGGCGUAAAGCGUGCGCAGGCGGUUUUGUAAGACAGGCGUGAAAUCCCCGGGCUUAACCUGGGAACUGCGUUUGUGACUGCAAGGCUAGAGUACGGCAGAGGGGGGUGGAAUUCCACGUGUAGCAGUGAAAUGCGUAGAGAUGUGGAGGAACACCAAUGGCGAAGGCAGCCCCCUGGGUCGAUACUGACGCUCAUGCACGAAAGCGUGGGUAGCAAACAGGAUUAGAUACCCUGGUAGUCCACGCCCUAAACUAUGUCAACUAGGUGUUGGGUGGGUAAAACCAUUUAGUACCGUAGCUAACGCGUGAAGUUGACCGCCUGGGGAGUACGGCCGCAAGGUUAAAACUCAAAGGAAUUGACGGGGACCCGCACAAGCGGUGGAUGAUGUGGAUUAAUUCGAUGCAACGCGAAAAACCUUACCUACCCUUGACAUGCCAGGAACUUGCCAGAGAUGGCUUGGUGCCCGAAAGGGAGCCUGGACACAGGUGCUGCAUGGCUGUCGUCAGCUCGUGUCGUGAGAUGUUGGGUUAAGUCCCGCAACGAGCGCAACCCUUGUCGUUAAUUGCCAUCAUUUAGUUGGGCACUUUAACGAGACUGCCGGUGACAAACCGGAGGAAGGUGGGGAUGACGUCAAGUCCUCAUGGCCCUUAUGGGUAGGGCUUCACACGUCAUACAAUGGUCGGUACAAAGGGUUGCCAAGCCGCGAGGCGGAGCCAAUCCCAGAAAGCCGAUCGUAGUCCGGAUUGCAGGCUGCAACUCGCCUGCAUGAAGUCGGAAUCGCUAGUAAUCGUGGAUCAGCAUGUCACGGUGAAUACGUUCCCGGGUCUUGUACACACCGCCCGCCACACCAUGGGAGCGGGUUCCGCCAGAAGUAGGUAGCCUAACCGCAAGGGGGGCGCUUACCACGGCGGGGUUCGUGACUGGGGUGAAGUCGGAACAAGGUAGCCGUAGGGGAACCUGCGGCUG